UGUUUAAGCGGUGAGAAGACAUGAC
Molecule: non-coding RNA, 25 nt
Filed under: Rattus norvegicus (Norway rat)
Lineage: Eukaryota; Metazoa; Chordata; Mammalia; Rodentia; Muridae
Source: RNAcentral